CAGCAGCCACGGUAAAACGUAGGGUGCAAGCGUUAAUCGGAAUUACUGGGCGUAAAGCGUGCGCAGGCGGUUUGUUAAGACAGAUGUGAAAUCCCCGGGCUCAACCUGGGAACUGCAUUUGUGACUGGCAAGCUAGAGUCUGGCAGAGGGGGGUGGAAUUCCGCGUGUAGCAGUGAAAUGCGUAGAUAUGCGGAGGAACACCGAUGGCGAAGGCAGCCCCCUGGGCCAACACUGACGCUCAUGCACGAAAGCGUGGGGAGCAAACAGGAUUAGAUACCCCUGUAGUCCCUGUCCUUAUACA
This 301-nucleotide ribosomal RNA is filed under the name uncultured bacterium. RNAcentral's name for it is "partial 16S ribosomal RNA". It matches the Rfam family "Bacterial small subunit ribosomal RNA", at positions 509 to 809 of the family's 1533-position model. The record is from RNAcentral.